RNAcentral lists this ribosomal RNA (506 nucleotides) under uncultured bacterium. Its description in RNAcentral is "partial 16S ribosomal RNA". It matches the Rfam family "Bacterial small subunit ribosomal RNA", at positions 30 to 523 of the family's 1533-position model. The record is from RNAcentral.
AUUGAACGCUGGCGGCAGGCCUAACACAUGCAAGUCGAACGGCAGCACAGAGGAGCUUGCUCCUUGGGUGGCGAGUGGCGGACGGGUGAGGAAUACAUCGGAAUCUGCCUAUUUGUGGGGGAUAACGUAGGGAAACUUACGCUAAUACCGCAUACGACCUACGGGUGAAAGCGGAGGACCUUCGAGCUUCGCGCAGAUAGAUGAGCCGAUGUCGGAUUAGCUAGUUGGCGGGGUAAAGGCCCACCAAGGCGACGAUCCGUAGCUGGUCUGAGAGGAUGAUCAGCCACACUGGAACUGAGACACGGUCCAGACGCCUACGGGAGGCAGCAGUGGGGAAUAUUGGACAAUGGGCGCAAGCCUGAUCCAGCCAUGCCGCGUGGGUGAAGAAGGCCUUCGGGUUGUAAAGCCCUUUUGUUGGGAAAGAAAAGCAGUCGGUUAAUACCCGAUUGUUCUGACGGUACCCAAAGAAUAAGCACCGGCUAACUUCGUGCCAGCCGCCGCCGUAA